RNAcentral lists this ribosomal RNA (253 nucleotides) under uncultured bacterium. RNAcentral describes it as "partial 16S ribosomal RNA". It matches the Rfam family "Bacterial small subunit ribosomal RNA", at positions 524 to 776 of the family's 1533-position model. The record is from RNAcentral.
UACGGAGGGUGCGAGCGUUGUCCGGAAUCACUGGGCGUAAAGGGCGCGUAGGCGGCGCGGGAAGUCCGUGGUGAAAGCCCGAGGCUCAACUUCGGGUCGGCCAUGGAUACUCCUGGGCUCGAGCACUGUAGAGGCAGGUGGAAUUCCGGGUGUAGCGGUGGAAUGCGUAGAGAUCCGGAAGAACACCGGUGGCGAAGGCGGUCUGCUGGGGUCGAACUGACGCUGAGGCGCGACAGCGUGGGGAGCAAACAGG